UCCCGUUUAAAUAUUGGGUUAAAUAUUUAAUGACAUUAAUAUUUUAAAAUCACAUUAAUCAGAUAUUUACCUAUUUCCAAUAGACAUUAACUUAAUGAGAAGAGCACUAUUAACCUAAAGCAUUAUUAACUUAAAGUACUAGUAAUUUCUUUUUCCUUAACCUAUUCAGAAGAGUUCAGCUUGUUUCCUCGAACCUCCUCCGUUCAGCUUCAAGCCUUCAUAAGUCGUAUUCGAAUAUUAAAUCAUGAAUCAUAAUCAGAUAUUAAAUCAAGGAUCAUAUUAAAUCUUACUGAAAAUAUAGCUUUGUACCUUUUCAUCGUAAUAGAUCUACCCGAACAUACAAUAAUCAGCAUGGUGAAGAUCUACAGCAAGAUUUCCUGAUUUUUCACGAAAUUUAGGAUCAGGUGAUAUAUGGAAGAAAAUGAAAUCGUAGAUUAAAUUGAAAGAAACAUUCAUUAACCCAUCAAAGGAAUAAAGUCGUAAAAUGAAAGAAAUGGGAAAAGAAAUUACCAAGUAAUAGCUUACGUUGGGAGGCCCAAAUCGGUAGCUGCGAACGUCGGUGCAUGUAAAUGAGAUCGAUCUGUGAGACAGUCAAACUUAGAAAGUGAACAAACUUACGAUGGUGUAAGAAAACCUUGAUGGCAAACUUAGAAAGCAAGAACUUGAAGCACUACUCCAGAGGACAUAAACGCG
RNAcentral lists this long non-coding RNA (693 nucleotides) under Zostera marina. RNAcentral's name for it is "long non-coding RNA (ZMAR_LNC004422)". The record is from RNAcentral. Lineage: Eukaryota; Viridiplantae; Streptophyta; Magnoliopsida; Alismatales; Zosteraceae.